CCAAAUCCUCAUGAUGGACUUUUCUAAUGUAAUCCCAGGAAAAUGGAAUGUUAGGGAGAUACCAUUAUAGUAGCUAAUGGGAGAACUUGAAAUCUGAAAACUUACUCCUUAGACACAUAUGUCAUCAGAGAAAUGGGAUUUAAACGGUUCUAAAAUAUACCAUAUCUUACCAAAAGGAAAGGUGAAGAAAAAAAAAGAUACCAGCCUACAACUCAUUAAUAAGUACUAGACUCUCAAAUAUAGCUAAACAAAAACUAUUACCACAAACUGAACUAAGACAAUAUAAACAGUUCCUAAAAUAUCAUUUGCCAAAGUUUGGAUGGCUUCUCAAAAAGCAAACUAUAAAAUCUUAAGUUUUGAGAGCUCACUUUUUAAAUAGGGAAGUCUUUAAGGAGCAUUUUAAGGUUAGAUAUCCUUUUGUGGUAAGUUAACUCAGAUGCACUGACUUCUGCCAAAUUUUUAUUGCAGCACAAGCUCUACAUUUUCUGAAGUCACUAAAUUUCUCAUUACAGCACAGGAAAAAGAAGAUAAAGUAGGAGAAGUAUCAGUUUCAAAUUCAGCCCUAAGCAGCAACAUUUUUGAGAUGCAAUCAUAAAACCAAAUAUUUCACCCGGGACAAGGAAAAAGCAGUGGAUCAUCAGAAAACAGAGUAAAAAGCUGCAAGAAGAUGUGAAAAAAAAAAAGAAAAGCAGUGAGAAGAUGCCAAGCUUGGAACAAGGUCUUAUUGACACAUACUAUGCUAAUCUCACUUCUUUAGGCU
Molecule: long non-coding RNA, 760 nt
Filed under: Bos taurus (domestic cattle)
Lineage: Eukaryota; Metazoa; Chordata; Mammalia; Artiodactyla; Bovidae
Description: long non-coding RNA NONBTAT009005
Source: RNAcentral